UCACAAUGAAAGAAAGAUAAAUCUUUAUUGGAAAAUUAAGGAUACAAUUUUUGAAAGUACUUAAGACUAGGAUGUCCAAAACAUUUAUAUAACAAUUUUAUUUCAAGCAAACUAGACUCUAGAAAAUAAUCAUUUGAUCAAAAGUUAGCCUCACUUGUGAGUAGUAAGCCUUCCAACAAAAAUCAAAUUACAAGCCAAUUUUAGAACAAAUAAGACAUUGUCAAGCACAUCAUCUAAUAAUACAAUAGUGCCAAUUUGAGUAACAUCUACACAUGAAUCAUCGGCAAUUUUUACUACCCAUCUCUCCGUUCAGGGUCCAAGUUCUUUAAAUAAUGACUGAUCCCCUCUUAUAUGGUUAGUUGCACUUGAAUCUACUAUCCAUUGGUUUGAAUGUCAAGCAAAAGGUAAAGAAACCAAAAUCAUACUUAAUUUAGUGGCAAUUAAACCAAUGGCAGUGCUCACUCGAGGAGAUUGUUUAUAAUUUAUGAAGGAGCUUUUGAAUUUGAUCAAUUUGCUCAUUUAAUUGAUUAAAAUCGAGUUUCUCAUCUUCUUGGUUAAUAGCAUAAGGGUCCUUUUGCCUUUUUUGCCUUUUUUAUCUAAAGAGUCCUGUGCAUGACCUUUCUUGUUGCAAUGAUCACAUAUUAAAUGUCUGUUCUUUCUGCCUUUGCCAUCAUUAGUGGGGAUGUCCACGAGUUGCCAUGGCUUAGGCUUCUCUAGAGGGAGAUGUAGUGAACCAUUGGUUAUACGUUUGUGACUUUCCUUGCUUUUGAUUAUAGCAAAAGACCUCCCGGAAUAGAGGAAGUUGUGGAUGACUUAACACUAUAGUAUUGGAAGCAGAGGAAUAAAGCUUGUGAGUGGCCUCACAGAUUUCACGAGCAGUUUAUUAAAGAAGAAAGUUGCAUCCAAUUUCCAGGGUCAUCAACUUCACUAACCAAGACGUGACUAUUUUUAGUGCUCCAUGUAGUGUACUUCACAUCAGAAGGUACAAAUACUAUUGCUCGACCAUCUAGAAACUCCUUGCCACAGCCAUGAAUGAAUAAGAGAAAAGACUAGGACCUUUAUAAAUAAUUUUCCUCAUCCAGUUUGUGAGCAGUGAUGAGACUCAAAAGGUCUCCAAAAGUGUGCGACAAGCUGAAUUAGGUUUAGCUAUUGUAGUGUUAAAAGCUCGAUACUUAAUGAAUUGAAGGUUUCGAUCAAUCAUGGAUCUAAUACCAUGAUAUUAAUUGAGGAAAAAAAUCAUCUUAGUUCAUUAUUUUAUAAAUCAAGGUGCUUAGUACUCAUAGAGAAGAUUAGGCUUAUAAGGACAAAUAAAUCAGAAUAAAAUUUGAACUAAUAUUUGAUUUGAAUUUCAAAUCAGAUCCUAAUCCUCUAAAUUAGGAAAAUUAAAAACAAUAUCAUUAAAAAUUAUUCUAUAAAUUAGAUAUUGGGAAAAUAAAAAUAAUAUCAUUAAAAAUUAUUCUAAGAUAUAAAUUAGAUAUUGAGCCUAGGCUCGAAGCCUUCUAAUAGAUGAGAGAGCUUGUGCUCUCUGUCCAUCCACAAAGGUGACAGCCUCUGUUCGAUUUUUGGCCAUAUAUGCACAUGAAAUAAACUUGGGGAUGGCACGUGGGAGAUCAAGUAAUUGAUGAGAUAGGACCUUCCUUACCUGUUUGAGGCUACAAUUGUGUUAUAGUUUAGUAGGUUGUUUUGAUCUUUGUUGCGUAUCAUUUAUUGUUGGUUCAAUUUGUUUUGAAUGUUGUAUUCUUUUGCUUUAUGUGCUCAUGAUUAGAUUUGAUUGUGCAAAUUAUAAGUGCAAAAUUCAUUAAAAGAGAGGAGAAUUAUAACAUCUUCCUCCUGAGACUUUUGGACAUUUUGUCCAUGUCCAUUUGCAAACAUGAUAGAGAGGGAUGGUUGUCGAUGAACACCAUCAUGACAAGUCAUUAUACGAGCAUCAUCAAUUGCAUUUUUAAGGUUUUAAAUCAUUCCAAAUUGUCCCUCACUUUUGAAUUUGCUCUUUGCACUAUAGUUCAAAGUUCUUAAGGGUUUGAGGUAGGGUUGAGCAAAUGACCCAUGCCCCUCCUAACCCAUUUGUACGCUGUCAAAUUGGGCGGGCACUAACCUACAUGUGAAAAUGUGAGGGGCGACCAUUAGGCAUUAUGUUUUGUUAUAUGAAAUGGCGAAACUUGUAAACUUCCUUCUUGUUCAUCUCCCCUUUCAGUUCCUCAAUCUAUCCUUUCUGCCCUACUGAUUGCCUCGUUUCUCAUCUCCACUUGUCCAAAGUCAAAUAGUCCUUCCUAUCAUUCUUGCUCCAUCGUUCACCUUUUGCUCCUCUCCCAAGUCUAUUGCAGUUCACAACAGAGGAAAAGAGUGAGAAAAGGAGAAAAACAGAUAGGGGCAAUGGGAGAUAUUUAAGGGUGUGCUAGGGUGAGUUUUUAGGCAUUUUGAAGGUGAUUCUAGCUUGGUUUCAUCUUGGUAAGUCUUUCAUUUCCUCUCUUUUUCCUUCUACAUGAUUUGAUUCUAGUUUUGGGGUUGGAUGAUGAAUUUUCGGGCCUUAAGGGCGUAGAUCUAAACCCAAUGGUUCUAGUGGGACUAAUAGGAGUUCUUUAAACUAUUUAAACUUAGUUUUGAGAAUUUUACAAGAUUACGAGGCUGGGGAUGGGGUUUUGAACGAACCCUAUCCACUUUGAAGAAGUUUUUGUGUUGUUGGGUGUUAUGUUAAUGGUUGUUUAAGAUAAAGAGGCAAUAAAAUUAUAGGGAGUUGAUGGAUUCUUUCGCUUUGAAUUUGAAUUUGUGAUUUUGGAAUUGAAGUGAUGGAAGUGAGAGUUAGGAGUUUUAGAUGGCAUUCAAGUUCAUAUUUAAUAAUAUUGCUUGUUGAAUUGUGGUUUAGUGCUUAUCACAUAGUUUGGAGCUCAAUCUAAGCUCUAGAAGCAAGUAUUUAGCGAGGUAACUUUUGAAUUCUCAAAGUUUGAGGUAAUUAAGGGAUCUCUAACUUGUACUUUUGCUUGUUAGAUUCAUUUAGGCUAUUUUGUGAAUAUGAUUAAUGUAAAUUUAUUCGAAUAUAAACUUAUUGUUUUAGAAAAUACAUGCAAGUUUGGCUUGCUUGAAUUUUCAUUAAAGCAAACUAUUUUCAAAAUGUUAUAUCCUAUUAAAUGUUUGUAUUAUGAAAUUAUGAAGUUUUGUAUAUAUGCUUAAGGUCAUUUAACUAUGUUGUUAUAUGCAUCCUUGGAUAAUUGCAUUAUGCUAUGAGUUUUAAAAUGUAUGAUGAUGUAAUGUGCAUGGUAACAUGAUCAUAUUUUGGGCGGGAUGAUGCCCUAAGAGUAAUAGUGCUUACUUUCCAUGUGGAAUUGUAUAACAAUCAUCAUGAGUAGCCUUAGUGUUUUCAUUUUUUUUCGAGUUAGGUCUUCCUGAAUCUCACCUAGGAAUUGGUGUAAGCAUAAGUUGUCCAAACCCUAUCCUUAAAUAGGUAUACAGUAGGACAUGUGACACCUCAUCAGAUUCGAGAGUUGGGGCAAUCUAUGGUUUAAGAUUGAGUGAGGCAUCUUUAGUCAAGUGUCUCCUUAUGAUUGGUGAGUUUGGACUAGUCUAUUUACAUUGACUUAGUCAUAUUGAAUUGUCAGUCCAUGGAUUCAGUUGGUAGUAUAUGGAGGAGAUAAGGUGCUGUUAAUCAUGCAUUUAUAGCAUCGUAGGAUGUGAUUUUGUAAGGUGUAUCUCUGAUUGGUUUUUCUAAUGCCUACUUUGCAUGCCUUAAUUGAUUUGACUUACAUGUACGUGAUUUAGAGUUUUUCUUGGUUAUUAAGAGUUGAAAGUCGUACUCACACCUAUCCUUUAUCUUACAAACUCUAGCUUUAGCGAGUCUAAGGAGAAAACAUCAAGGGUUUAGGAAUCCGUGAUUCCUAUUGUUAGCCUCUUUCUUUUGUUUUUAAUAUAUGUAAUUAAAUGACGAUGUAUUGUCAAACUUAGGGCGAUUAUAUUUAGGUUUACUUGGACCCAUGUAUCUUAAUUGUGAUUGACGUUGUAUUUAGUACCUUAGCUUUGUGUAUUUGUUGUUUGUGUAUGUUUACUUUUGAUUGAUGAAAGAGGAUUAAAUAAUGUGGUUAUGACCUUUUUUGCCUCCCCCGUAGUUUUUGCUGAAAUUAGGGUUGAGUAAUUAAAUUGUAAUGUGUGAUAUUUGUAUGUGAUGGUGCAUUGUAUAGGUUAUUCUAAAUCUUAGAAACCUAGUCUAGGUGAUCGUUUAGACUUUUGGCUCUUGGGGUUUUUGACACUUUGGACAAGUUCAAUUGUGAAAUAAAACCAAUAUCAAGUCAGGCCACUCAAGCAUUAAAAAAAGAAGAAAAUGAAGGGUUAGUGUUGCUAUGCCACACACCGUGGUGUAGAGUAUAUCCACCAUGGCACACAAACACUUCAGAUGUGAGAUUUAGGACAUCUAUGUGCCCAUGCACCACGGUGCAUGGUCAUUUUCUGCAAAAUUAAGUAGCGAACUAAGACAAAAAUAAAGAAGAGAAAAAGGAGAAAACGAAGAGGUGUGUCAAGCUCUGCUAGGGUUUGUUCUUGGACGACAUUGGGAGUGUUUUGGAAGUUACAAACUAUCAUGCCUCUUAAUCUCCCAUUUUCUUCCACAUUAUCAAGUUUAUAGUUAGGGUUUAAUAAUGGAAGAUUAUUUUAGGUCUAUAUAGAUUAUGAGCCUAAAUUUAUUGACUCAAAUAGAGUUAAUGGGAGUAGAUUAGAGUAUCUAAAUUUAUGUAUAAUGAAUUUUCAUGUCUUAGGUGGUUGGGCUUCAUAAAUAUGCAAAAAUUUCAUUAAUGUGGGUUGUUGGAAGAGUGUGAUGUCAUUAAUGAAGGUUUAAUGACCCAUUAAUGUUAAUGGGGACUAAAGAUAGUUAAUAAAUCCAAUGGAUAGGCUCAAACCCAUAUAAAGUGGGUAUUGGGCAAUUUAGAAAUGGAGAAAUGAUAGUUGAAUGCUUGGGUUUAGCAAUAUUAAUGGAGAUUAAUUUGGUAAAUUGUAGAUUAAGCUCUUGGACAUCUAAUUGGCUUGAAAAUUCAAGCUUGGAAGCUAUUAUAUUGAGGGGUAAGCUUUUGACCUCUCAAAGGUUUUAGGUAACUGGAAAAAUUUUACUUUAGGUAGUUAUAUGUUAAUUGUGAUGUGAAUUGUGUGUUUAUCAUGUCAAUUUCAACUUGUGAAAUUGGAUUACAUGCAUUGAAACUUGGUGUCAAUGUAAAUUGUGUGAUAUGUAUUAAACAUGCGAAAGUAGUUGUAAAAUGAGUUUUGAUGCAGUAAAUAUGGUGUUCAAAAAGAAUUUCUCUUUACAAUGUGUUGUGAAUGAGUGAUUGAUGAUGAAUAUAAUAAAGAGCAAUAUAAGAGAUUAAAAGUGAUGUGUUUUUGUGUUAUAAGUGAAAAUGAGGAUUUAUGCCCACUUGGGUAGCAUUUAAAUGUGAUGUGAUAUGUGUAUUCCUUAACAUCAUAUUGAGGUGUCACCCUUUUUCCUUAACAUUUUUCAGGCUUUAGCUUUGGUGCUGAGAGGGAAAAAGCUAUUGAGGCCCGGAACAUAAGCAAAGUUACGAGAAAGGAAUCAGCAUCGAGAAACCACGCUUUGUGAGAAGUAUGGUUCCAAGUCGGACAUUGUUGCUGCUUUGCAUUGUUACUUGCCUUUUUACUUUGGAGAUGGUUUAGCCUCCGGGCCCGUGGUUAGGAUCUUGACUUUACUAGAGUGCAAGUUGUAUUGAUCUUGACAUAUUUCUUUAUUGAUUGAUAGAUGAAGAGCCGAGCUCACUUAGGAUUUGCUUGCAUUCAUGUUAAAGUAGGCAAAGCCAAGCAUAGGUUGAGUGAUAUAAUUAUUUUGAAAAUUGCCUGCUAUUUUGUAUGAUAGGGAAUAAUGCAUGGAUGUGUGCCUUUGAAAUGUAUUUAAUCCUUUUCUAUUA
Prosopis cineraria is the source of this 5891-nucleotide long non-coding RNA. RefSeq lists it as uncharacterized. NCBI's taxonomy places the organism in Eukaryota, Viridiplantae, Streptophyta, Magnoliopsida, Fabales, Fabaceae. The record is from RefSeq and is a predicted model, not a curated record. The transcript has 2 exons.